CUGCGAAAAGCUACGGGGAUUGGCACACACGAAUUGAUCCGUAGAUAUCCGAAUGGGGCAACCCACUAUAUUGAAGAUAUAGUACACCGAUAGGUGAGCAAACCCGCUGAACUGAAACAUCUAAGUAGGCGGAGGAGAAGAAAACAACAGUGAUUCCGUAAGUAGUGGCGAGCGAACGCGGAUUAGCCCAAACCAAUGAUGUUACGGCAUGAUUGGGGUUAUAGGACCACGUGAUUUCUUGCUAAUUUAAUAAGAAUAAUCUGGAAAGAUUAACCACAGAGGGUGAUAGUCCCGUAUUAGUAAGAGAGGAUAAGAAUAGUGGUAUCCUGAGUAGGGCGGGGCACGAGAAACCCUGUCUGAAUUUGGCGGGACCAUCCGCUAAGGCUAAAUACUCCUGAGAGACCGAUAGUGAACCAGUACCGUGAGGGAAAGGUGAAAAGAACCGUGAAUAACGGAGUGAAAUAGAUCCUGAAACCAUACGCUUACAAGCGGUCGGAGCUUUAUUUAUAGGGUGACGGCGUGCCUUUUGCAUAAUGAGCCUACGAGUUACGGUAUCUGGCAAGGAUAAGCAAUUCAGUUGCGCAUCCGUAGCGAAAGCGAGUCUUAAUAGGGCGUUUUAGUCAGUUGCUGUAGACGCGAAACCGUGUGAUCUACCCAUGGGCAGGUUGAAGUUUAGGUAACACUAAAUGGAGGACCGAACCGGUUGACGUUGAAAAGUCUUCGGAUGACCUGUGGGUAGGGGUGAAAGGCCAAUCAAACUCGGAAAUAGCUCGUACUCCCCGAAAUGCAUUUAGGUGCAGCGUUAGUUAUAAGUUAUCUAGAGGUAGAGCUACUGAUUGGAUGCGGGGGCUUCACCGCCUACCAAUUCCUGACAAACUCCGAAUGCUAUAUAAUGUUUACUAACAGUGAGGGCAUGGGUGCUAAGGUCCAUGUCCGAGAGGGAAAGAACCCAGACCAUCAGCUAAGGUCCCCAAAUGUAUACUAAGUUGAAAAAACGCGGUUUGUCUGCAUGGACAGCUAGGAUGUUGGCUUGGAAGCAGCCAUUCAUUUAAAGAGUGCGUAACAGCUCACUAGUCGAGCGGACGAGCAUGGAUAAUAAUCGGGCAUAAGUAUACUACCGAAGCUAUGGAUUUUGCUUUAUAGCAAAGUGGUAGGGGAGCAUUCUAAUUUGGCAGAAGAUUUUAUGUAAAUAGAGUUGGACGGAUUAGAAAAGAAAAUGUAGGCAUAAGUAACGAUAAGCGGUGCGAGAAACACCGCCACCGAAAGACUAAGGUUUCCUGAGCUAUGCUAAUCAGCUUAGGGUUAGUCGGGUCCUAAGGCGAAUCCGAAAGGAACAGUCGAUGGCCAAUGGGUUAAUAUUCCCAUACUAUUUAUUACUGUGAUGGGGUGACGGAGAGAUGAAAGUGUCGCGAACUGACGGAAUAGUUCGUUGAAGUGUGUAGUUAAAUUUUAGAUAGGCAAAUCCGUUUAAGAUGGCGAAUCACGAUAGUACUCUGCGUUUUCGGACAAAGAGAUAGUACACCUAAGAGCUUCCAAGAAAAACCUCUAAACUUCAGGUAAUAAAUACCCGUACCGUAAACCGACACAGGUAGUCGAGGAGAGAAUCCUAAGGUGCUCGAGAGAUUCAUGGCUAAGGAAUUAGGCAAAAUUGACCUGUAACUUCGGGAUAAAGGUCGCCAACAGCAAUGUUGGCCGCAGUGAAUAGGUCCAGGCGACUGUUUAUCAAAAACACAGGGCUCUGCAAAAUCGUAAGAUGAAGUAUAGGGCCUGACACCUGCCCGGUGCUGGAAGGUUAAGAGGAGAUGUCAUCAGCAAUGAGAAGCAUUGAAUUGAAGCCCCAGUAAACGGCGGCCGUAACAAUAACGGUCCUAAGGUAGCGAAAUUCCUUGUCGGGUAAGUUCCGACCU
This 1907-nucleotide ribosomal RNA is filed under the name Austrothaumalea cf. denticulata Cul1. RNAcentral's name for it is "bacterial LSU rRNA". It matches the Rfam family "Bacterial large subunit ribosomal RNA", at positions 66 to 1989 of the family's 2925-position model. The record is from RNAcentral. Lineage: Eukaryota; Metazoa; Arthropoda; Insecta; Diptera; Thaumaleidae.